Molecule: transfer RNA, 71 nt
Filed under: Leptotrombidium deliense
Lineage: Eukaryota; Metazoa; Arthropoda; Arachnida; Trombidiformes; Trombiculidae
Description: tRNA-Ala for anticodon UGC
Rfam family: tRNA (bases 6-66)
About the family: Transfer RNA (tRNA) molecules are approximately 80 nucleotides in length.
Source: RNAcentral
GGAGUUGUGGCUCAGUGGCAGAGUGCUUGCCUUGCAAGCAUGAGGCCCUGGGUUCAAUUCUCAGCACUGCA